CCGCCCGGAGGAGGCCGCCCCGCACCAGCCCGCCCGCCCGCGGGCCGCGCUGCACGACGGGCGGACGCCCCGGAGCCCGGACGGCGGCCACACUCACCUGCACCAAGCAGUGGCCCUGCGCGUCCUGCUGGGCGUCGGGCAGGACGAGGGCCCGCGGCCACAGCAACGGAUGCAAGAAAUGGACCAUGACGCCGACGCCGCCCACGCGAGCCCGGCCGCCGACGUCGCGCCCCGGCGCCCCGGAGGAGAGCGCAGGAAGGUCGCCCGGCACGGGAGGAGAGCUCAGGAAGGUCGGCCGGCGUUUGAAUGGCCGCCCCACGCCGCGCACAGCCUGGAAUUUGCAUUAUAGCUGAAGAUGACCUUGAACUGAUUCUUCCACUUCCACCUCCCAAGGUGCAAGAUGAGUACAUUGUUGCAGUCUACAGACACACCAGAAAAGGAUGUCAGAGACCCCAUUACAGAUGGUUGUGAGCCACCAUGUGGUUGCUGGAAUUGAACUCAGGACCUCUGGACCUUAACCUCUGAGCCAUCUCCCCAGCCCCGUAAGUUCUUUCUUAUACCUUUACAUAGGUAUCAGAGAUUGACAUUAGGAUUUCAAACUUAUAUGGCACAAGCACCUUUACCCCACUGAGCCACCUUGCCAGACCCUGGAAAUGUUCGUUGAGAGAGUAUCAUGGAGCCCAGGACAGCCUAUAAAUUACUAUAUUGCUGAGAAUGGCCUUGAACUCCAGAUACUGGGAUUUGUGGCUUCAAUGCUAAAAGGAUUAAUUUCACGACUAGCUGGUAAAUGAUGAAGCCAACUUUGGGGAUUCUAUUAAAGCUUACUAUAGGCUUAAGCAUGAGAGUUAAAAGGAGGACUCUCAGAAAGGAAGACUUAUCCAGGUAUGGCUACAACCAAUUGUCAUAGCAUUAGCCAUAUACACUGUUUUGACAGCUCUCAAGUUCCAUCUCAAAGGACGGCUAAGAAACACUCCCACCCCUUUUGAUAACUGAGGUGGUUUGGACCCUGCAUUGGCUGGAGGAGGUAAAACCAUGACAACCAACAACUGUCCCUUCUGUUUCUGGUGAGAUUCUGAGAGAGCUGCAGGUUUAGAACUGGGCAGAGGGAAAGGCCAUAAGCAGUUGGUAAUUAACUGCGCUGGAUUCCUGCUCCUCUGCUGAGAGGCCUCAGAGAUGAGGGUUCCUUCAUCCCAUGUGCCUGUCGCCUAUCCUGCCUCAGGACGGCUUGAUCUUAUUUGGUUUGGUUUGGUUUUUAAAUAAAAUCUCACUGUGUAACCCUGGCUAGCCUGAAUACAUAGACCAGGCAGUCCUGGAAUUCAUAGAGAUAUACCUGCCUCUGCCUCCCCAGGGCUGGGCUAAAGGCGGAAACCACCAUGACAGCCAGGCUUUUUUUUUUUCCCCCCACAGGUUGGAAUCUACAUAGAGACUGAGUUCAGAAAUCACUUUAGAAUAUUAAAUGAUAAGAUUUAGAUUGUAUAUCUCUAAAACAAUAAGAGGCUCACUCAAGGAAAACUUCUCUGGUCAACAGAUUAGAAUUUCUAGCUUGGGUGGAGACUUAACAUUGCAGCUGGUCAGGUCAAAUGACCUGGGGAAGGGGCCAUCCCUGGGAAUGCAGGGUUACCUUAAUCCAUGCUAAAGAACAAGGAGAGAUGGCUCAGCUGCAAAGAGCACUUAUUGCUCUUCCAGAGGACCUGACUUGAUUCCUAGCACCCAUAUGGUGACUCAAAAUUGUCCCUAACUCUAGCUCCAGGGAAUCUAUCUGACAGCCCUCUUCUGGAUUCUCUUGUGCACUGAGUUAAGCUUGUUUUUAUAUUAUUCAAAUGUUGAUUUCCAUAACACUAGAGAGCUAAAUAUUGGACUUUGGUAUUUUUAUUCUAGUUGUUCAACGUUUUGUAAACAUUCUUCCCCACCACCUUAUGAUUAAUUUAACAAACAGCUGAUUACAACAUGAAAGGAGAGGGAAGGCAGGACAACCCAUAGGAACUGUGGGGAGGGGGGAAUCCACCGGGAAUCUGACUGGCAGACAUGGUGGUGGAACAGGUGCCUGGAGAGGAGCAAUAACGGCUGUGUGCAGGGAUCCACCCCAUAAUCAGCAUCCAAACGCUGACACCAUUGCAUACACUAGCAAGAUUUUAUUGAAAGGACCCAGAUGUAGCUGUCUCUUGUGAGACUAUGCCAGGGCCUAGCAAACACAGAAGUGGAUGCUCACAGUCAGCUAAUGGAUGGAUCACAGGGCUCCCAAUGGAGGAGCUAGAGAAAGUAGCCAAGGAGCUAAAGGGAUCUGCAACCCUAUAGGUGGAACAACAUUAUGAACUAACCAGUACCCCGGAGCUCUUGACUCUAGCUGCAUAUGUAUCAAAAGAUGGCCUAGUCGGCCAUCACUGGAAAGAGAGGCCCAUUGGACUUGCAAACUUUAUAUGCCCCAGUACAGGGGAACGCCAGGGCCAAAAAGGGGGAGUGGGUGGGUAGGGGAGUGGGGGUGGGUGGGUAUGGGGGACUUUUGGUAUAGCAUUGGAAAUGUAAAUGAGCUAAAUACCUAAUAAAAAAUGGAAAAAAAAAUAACGGCUGUGUGGCAGAGCUUAAUUAGAAUAAAUGGGUUAAUUAAAUUCUACAAGCUAGCUGGGAAUAAGCUUAAGCUACAGGCCUAAGCAUUCAUAAAUAAAUAACAAUCUCUGAAUCAUUAUCGACAGCCUUUGGGGAUGGACCUCCAUGAACAAUAGGCACAUAUGUAGUGUGCAUACAUACAUGAAAGCAAAAUGCUCGUACACAUAAAAUAAAAUAUACAUUCAAAUAACAGGUGGAAUAAUUGUGCCUUUAGCGGGGCAGUGGUGGUCCACGCCUUUAAUUCCAGCACUCUGGAGGCAGAGGCAGGUGGAUUUCUGAGUUCAAGGCCAGCCUGGUCUACAGAGUGAGUUCCAGGACAGCCAGGGCUACACAGAGAAACCCUGUCUCAAAAAAACCAAAAAAAAAAAAAAAAAAAAAAAAAUG
Mus musculus (house mouse) is the source of this 2988-nucleotide long non-coding RNA. RefSeq annotates it as predicted gene, 54249. NCBI's taxonomy places the organism in Eukaryota, Metazoa, Chordata, Mammalia, Rodentia, Muridae. The transcript has 3 exons. The record is from RefSeq and is a predicted model, not a curated record.